UUAGACUUGAUUUCAACCCCUUUACUCGAUCAAAUUGAGCCAAUUAGCAAUCCAAUUACUAAUUAAUUCUCUUAUAACUUACUAACACUUAAUUAGUAAGUUUGACAAAUACAACAAUUGCAUUGGAUCAAUCAUCAAUCAUAUUAACAAUUAGUUCCCUAUGUGAUUCAUAAUCACAGAUCAACCAUCUGAUCGGACAAAGAUCUCUUUGUGUAUGGCCCCAU
RNAcentral lists this long non-coding RNA (224 nucleotides) under Elaeis guineensis (African oil palm). RNAcentral describes it as "long non-coding RNA (EGUI_LNC020239)". The record is from RNAcentral. Lineage: Eukaryota; Viridiplantae; Streptophyta; Magnoliopsida; Arecales; Arecaceae.